Molecule: long non-coding RNA, 568 nt
Filed under: Nicotiana benthamiana
Lineage: Eukaryota; Viridiplantae; Streptophyta; Magnoliopsida; Solanales; Solanaceae
Description: long non-coding RNA (NBEN_LNC025387)
Source: RNAcentral
GACUAGACACACAAACUCAUGACAUAAACCAAGACUCAACUACCUCCUACCCUACAACCGUAAUACUCGACCUCCGCGUGUUCUUAUCAAGUGUCAUGUCUUCGGAGAUCUGAAGCCUCAUAAUAUCAUGCCUAAUCACCUCCCCGCAAUACUUCUUAGGCCGCCCUCUACCUCUUCUUGUGCCCUCCACAGCCAGCCGUUCGCACCUCCUUACCGGAGCAUCCAGGCUUCUCUCUGAACAUGCCCGAACCAUUUGAGCCUCGCUUCCUGCGUCUGUCAUUAAUGGGAGCCACACACACCUUCUCUCGAAUAUCAUCAUUCCUAAUAUUAUCCAACAUAGUAUGUUUGCAUAUCCACCGCAACAUCCUCAUUUCUGCUACCUUCAUCUUCUGGAUAUGUGAUUUCUUAACCGACCAACACUCAGCCCCAUAUAUCAUGAUCAGUUUAACCACUGCUUUGUAAAACUUACCUUUGAAUAUCAGUGGCCUCUUAUCGUAUAUAUUAAGUUUCUAAUAUAUUAAUGGAUAUGGAAGCUUAAUAAAACUUUGAGAAAUCAAGACAGUUCAAG